RNAcentral lists this ribosomal RNA (164 nucleotides) under Rheum palmatum. RNAcentral's name for it is "5.8S ribosomal RNA". It matches the Rfam family "5.8S ribosomal RNA". From Rfam's summary of the family: 5.8S ribosomal RNA (5.8S rRNA) is a component of the large subunit of the eukaryotic ribosome. It is transcribed by RNA polymerase I as part of the 45S precursor that also contains 18S and 28S rRNA. Lineage: Eukaryota; Viridiplantae; Streptophyta; Magnoliopsida; Caryophyllales; Polygonaceae. The record is from RNAcentral.
AGAACGACUCUCGGCAACGGAUAUCUCGGCUCUCGCAUCGAUGAAGAACGUAGCGAAAUGCGAUACUUGGUGUGAAUUGCAGAAUCCCGUGAACCAUCGAGUCUUUGAACGCAAGUUGCGCCCGAAGCCUUCUGGCCGAGGGCACGUCUGUCUGGGUGUCACGC